AUGUGAUGAUUUUUUUUAGAUGACGAGUCUGAAACGGAUGAAAGCAUGUUAUAUGUUUUCUGAAGAACAAGACGAGACUUAUCAAAUUAUACCAUUCAUGCUUUUCUGAUU
This 111-nucleotide small nucleolar RNA is filed under the name Lentinula edodes (shiitake mushroom). The record is from RNAcentral. Lineage: Eukaryota; Fungi; Basidiomycota; Agaricomycetes; Agaricales; Omphalotaceae.